RNAcentral lists this ribosomal RNA (474 nucleotides) under Theileria velifera. Its description in RNAcentral is "SSU rRNA". It matches the Rfam family "Eukaryotic small subunit ribosomal RNA", at positions 1326 to 1809 of the family's 1831-position model. Lineage: Eukaryota; Apicomplexa; Aconoidasida; Piroplasmida; Theileriidae. The record is from RNAcentral.
CGAUAACGAACGAGACUCUGGCAUGCUAACUAGUUACGCGACCCCCGAGCGGUCGGCGUCCCCCAACUUCUUAGAGGGACAAGUGGCGUUCAGCCACCCGAGAUUGAGCAAUAACAGGUCUGUGAUGCCCUUAGAUGUCCGGGGCUGCACGCGCGCUACACUGACUGGCUCAGCGUGUGCCUACCCUACGCCGGCAGGCGCGGGUAACCCGUUGAACCCCAUUCGUGAUGGGGAUCGGGGAUUGCAAUUAUUCCCCAUGAACGAGGAAUUCCCAGUAAGUGCGGGUCAUAAGCUUGCGUUGAUUAAGUCCCUGCCCUUUGUACACACCGCCCGUCGCUACUACCGAUUGGAUGGUUUAGUGAGGCCCUCGGAUCGGCCCCGCCGGGGUCGGCCCACGGCCCUGGCGGAGCGCUGAGAAGACGGUCGAACUUGACUAUCUAGAGGAAGUAAAAGUCGUAACAAGGUUUCCGUAGG